Molecule: ribosomal RNA, 253 nt
Filed under: uncultured bacterium
Lineage: Bacteria
Description: partial 16S ribosomal RNA
Rfam family: Bacterial small subunit ribosomal RNA
Source: RNAcentral
UACGUAGGGGGCAAGCGUUGUCCGGAUUCAUUGGGCGUAAAGAGCGUGUAGGCGGCCAGGUAGGUCGGUUGUGAAAACUGGAGGCUCAACCUUCAGAGGUCGACCGAAACCAUCUGGCUAGAGUCCGGGAGAGGAGAGUGGAAUUCCUGGUGUAGCGGUGAAAUGCGUAGAUAUCAGGAGGAACACCGGCGGUGUAGACGGCUUUCUGGACCGUAGCUGACGCUGAGACACGAAAGCGUGGGGAGCAAACAGG